Molecule: ribosomal RNA, 473 nt
Filed under: uncultured bacterium
Lineage: Bacteria
Description: bacterial SSU rRNA
Rfam family: Bacterial small subunit ribosomal RNA
Source: RNAcentral
AGGGUUCGAUUAUGGCUCAGAAUGAACGCUGGCGGCACGCUUAACACAUGCAAGUCGAACGAGAUCUUCGGAUCUAGUGGCAGACGGGUGAGUAACGCGUGGGAACCUGCCCAGUAGUAGAGAAUAACUUGGGGAAACUUAAGCUAAUACUUUAUACGUCCUUCGGGAGAAAGCUUUAUGCGCUAUUGGAUGGGCCCGCGUUAGAUUAGUUUGUUGGUGAGGUAACGGCUCACCAAGGCGACGAUCUAUAGCUGGUCUGAGAGGAUGAUCAGCCACACUGGGACUGAGACACGGCCCAGACUCCUACGGGAGGCAGCAGUGGGGAAUAUUGGACAAUGGGGGCAACCCUGAUCCAGCGAUGCCGCGUGAGUGAUGAAGGCCCUAGGGUUGUAAAACUCUUUCGUCAGGGAAGAUAAUGACGGUACCUGAGGAAUAAGCCACGGCUAAUUCCGUGCCAGCCGCCGCGGUAAUAC